This 739-nucleotide ribosomal RNA is filed under the name Schmidingerella arcuata. RNAcentral describes it as "LSU rRNA". It matches the Rfam family "Eukaryotic large subunit ribosomal RNA", at positions 25 to 814 of the family's 3401-position model. Lineage: Eukaryota; Ciliophora; Spirotrichea; Tintinnida; Rhabdonellidae. The record is from RNAcentral.
CCGCUGAACUUAAGCAUAUCAUUAAGCGGAGGAAAAGAAACUAACAAGGAUUCCCCUAGUACGGGCGACGGAAGCGGGAAAAGCCCACGCUGGUAAUCUGCGGGCGUUAGCUCGUCGAAUUGUAAUCUGAAGAUGGUUGGUCUAACGGAGUCGGGCGACGAAGUGUGCACGAGCGCGCCGCCAAAGAGGGUGAGAGCCCCGUAAGUUGCCAGACUCUACAAAGGCCGGUCGUCGAAGAGUCGUGUACUUUGAUACUAGUGCACCAAGCGGGAGAUAAACUUCUUCUAAGGCUAAAUAUAAGUAGGAAACCGAUAGCGAACAAGUACUGUGAAGGAAAGAUGAAAAGCACUUUGGAAAGAAAGUUAAAAGACUUGAAAUCGUUGAGGCGGACCCGGUAGAAAUGUAUUCUAGCGAAACUCCCUGGGAAGCCUGUACGCGGGUGUCUUGGGAGUUAGCCGAGGCAAGAUGGAGUCGCGCGAUGCUAGAGGCCGUGCAGGAGGUUCUUCGGAAAAGCCUGUGCAGGUUGAGUGUCGGGCGGCUUGAGGGGCUUAGAGCGAUCUUGUCAAAAUGGUUUUUACCGACUCGUCUUGAAACACGAACCAAGGAGUCUAAGACUAACGCGAGUAUGGUGGUGGAGAAACCAACAUGCGAAAUGAAAGUAAAUGAUGCCAAGACAACUGCAGCAUCGACCGACUUUUUUCUCUUGGAAGAGGUUUGAGUAAGAGCGUUAUUCUUAGGA